Molecule: non-coding RNA, 628 nt
Organism: Kogia breviceps (pygmy sperm whale)
Lineage: Eukaryota; Metazoa; Chordata; Mammalia; Artiodactyla; Physeteridae
Source: RefSeq, a predicted model, not a curated record
AGAGUUGUGUGUGUGUAUGAGUGACAGGUCUGCUGAUUGGAAAAAUGAAAUGAAUGCAGCGGGAUCUUUGAGGAGCUUGGGCUGCCAUCCAAACCUUCCUGCUUAGAAUGAUAUGAUUAUCGCUGAGGUGAUGUUCAUACAGACGGAUGGCCAUUCCAGGACGAGCCAUCAGGCCAAACUUGGUGAGACUUGCCCUCUACCUUAAAUAUAUGCUUAUGCGGGUGAGUGAAAUUAACAUGGUGAUUAUAUACUAAUAAACUGAUACUACUCAGAAGAAUGAUUUGUUACACAGAAUGGAAGACGUUUCAUUCACAGGACUGUGAGUACUGAAGAAUACUUGCCAGAGGAAUCCAUUCGAAAACUGGUCCUUGGUGGCACUUGUUCUGGAUGGGAAGAUGGGGAAUUAAAAUUGAAAUUCAUUUACGGCAUUUUAAAAUUCAUCUUUACUUUUUUUUGGUUUCAAUUAGAACUCACUGCCAUUCUUGUUCUCGUGUUUAAUAAUUUUUUUUACUCUAAAAUCUAUGGAAGUUAAUGGACAGAUUUACCUGGUUUUAUGUAUAUGAAUAUGUCUGUAAAUGUAUUUCUUUUACAUGCAGGCAAAAAUCUGAAUUCUUUUAGAUCAGAAUGG